CAAACGUUGCUUGCUAAUCCUUCAAAACAUAAAAUUUACCGAUGCAAAAUUACUACUGUGAUCACAUGCAGAAACUUUGCAUGUCUUUGAUAGUGUAAAGCAUGCUUUAGAAAAUGAAAGUAUAUGAGAAUUAUGUAUGUUGGGAUAUUAGGAAAUGCUCUUAUCCAAGAGAUGCUCGUAAAACAGUAUCGACUGUAAAAGAGAACAUUUGAGAGAGUCUCAUUUCAGGCCGAAACCCAAACAAUCAGUGUAAUUAUGUAAGUUGAUAUAAUAUUUCCACAUUUUGUCCGCGGUACGUGGGUGAGAUUGGGGGCUGAUGAUUAAUAGCCUGAUGUAACAACAACUGCUCAUUUGUGGUUCCAAAGGCGAAAGUAUUAUGCAAUGAAUUUUGAAACAGGCUGGAGCAGAUAAUAUUUAUGCUAACUAAACUCUUAAAAUUUGUACAGCAUCCUAAAUUUGUACUGAAUUCUAUAUAUAAAUGUAAAUUUAUGUAAACAUCUUAUGUAAUACGUAACUAAGUGCAAAUAUCACUUAUAAAUACUACAGGCAAGGUUGAUCACACUGCAGCAGCCCACGUAGCUUUUUAAAAAGAUCUGUUAAAGAAUUGUAACUGUCUUGUAUAUAUUUAAGCCUUGAAUUUAAAUUUGAUCCAAGGGAAUAAAAGUGAUCUACUAUCUUA
This is a non-coding RNA of Paramuricea clavata, 679 nucleotides long. Lineage: Eukaryota; Metazoa; Cnidaria; Anthozoa; Malacalcyonacea; Plexauridae. The record is from the annotation of a GenBank genome assembly.